This 468-nucleotide ribosomal RNA is filed under the name uncultured bacterium. RNAcentral describes it as "partial 16S ribosomal RNA". It matches the Rfam family "Bacterial small subunit ribosomal RNA", at positions 28 to 507 of the family's 1533-position model. The record is from RNAcentral.
GACGAACGCUGGCGGCAUGCUUAACACAUGCAAGUCGAACGGAACCGUCCUGCCUAUGUGGGCUGCUCGAGUUGCGACCGGGUGAGUAACCCGUAAGUAACCUGCCCUUGCCUGUGGGAUGACUUAAGGCAACUGGGGCUCAUCCCGGAAAGGAGCUACUGCUGCUGGGUGGGGGCGGGAAAGUUUCGGCGGUUGGGGGUGGACUAGCGGCUUAUCAGCUUGUUGGUGGGGUAGUGGCUUAGCAUGGCCUUGACAGGUGGCCGGCCUGGGAGGGUCACCGGCCACAUUGGGACUGGAAUACGGCCCAGACUCCUACGGUAGGCAGCGGUGGAGAAGAGUGCACAAUGGGCGGAGGCCUGAUGCAGCAACGCAGCGUGGGGGAUGACGGCCAGCGGGUUGGAAUCCGAUGUCGCUUUAGACGAGGCGAGAAUGACGGUAAUGGGUGAAGAAGCACCGGCUAACUACGUG